RNAcentral lists this ribosomal RNA (430 nucleotides) under Pseudomonadota bacterium. Its description in RNAcentral is "Proteobacteria bacterium partial 16S ribosomal RNA". It matches the Rfam family "Bacterial small subunit ribosomal RNA", at positions 355 to 776 of the family's 1533-position model. Lineage: Bacteria; Pseudomonadati; Pseudomonadota. The record is from RNAcentral.
UGGGGAAUAUUGGACAAUGGGCGAAAGCCUGAUCCAGCCAUGCCGCGUGUGUGAAGAAGGUCUUCGGAUUGUAAAGUACUUUAAGCGAGGAGGAGGCUACUAGCACUAAUACUACUGGUUAGUGGACGUUACUCGCAGAACAAGCACCGGCUAACUCUGUGCCAGCAGCCGCGGUAAUACAGAGGGUGCGAGCGUUUAUCGGAUUUACUGGGCGUAAAGCGUGCGUAGGCGGCUGAUUAAGUCGGAUGUGAAAUCCCUGAGCUUAACUUAUGAAUUGCAUUCGAUACUGGUCAGCUAGAGUAUGGGAGAGGAUGGUAGAAGUACAGGUCAAGAGGUGAAAAGCGUAGAGAUCUGGAGGGAGAACGAUGGCGGAGGCAGCCAUCUGGCCUAAUACUGUCGCAGAGGUACGAAAGAAUGGUGAGCAAACAAG